RNAcentral lists this ribosomal RNA (346 nucleotides) under uncultured candidate division WS1 bacterium. RNAcentral describes it as "bacterial SSU rRNA". It matches the Rfam family "Bacterial small subunit ribosomal RNA", at positions 1040 to 1382 of the family's 1533-position model. Lineage: Bacteria; Bacillati. The record is from RNAcentral.
GGUGCGAUGGUUGUCGUCAGCUCGUGCCGUGAGGUGUUCGGGUUAAGUCCCGCAACGAGCGCAACCCUCGCCAGAUGUUGCCAUCGGGUCAUGCCGGGCACUCUUCUGGGACUGCCUGAGUAAUCAGGAGGAAGGAGAGGAUGACGUCAAAUCUGCAUGCCUCUUACGUCCUGGGCUGCACGCGUGCUACAAUGGCGGGUACAAAGGGUAGCCAAACCGCGAGGUGGAGCCAAUCCCACAAAACCCGUCCCAGUUCGGAUCGGAUGUCUGCAACUCGACUCCGUGAAGGCGGAAUCGCUAGUAACCGUGGAUCAGCAACGCCACGGUGAAUACGUUCCCGGGCCUU